RNAcentral lists this long non-coding RNA (1542 nucleotides) under Panax ginseng (ginseng). RNAcentral describes it as "long non-coding RNA (PGIN_LNC015093)". The record is from RNAcentral. Lineage: Eukaryota; Viridiplantae; Streptophyta; Magnoliopsida; Apiales; Araliaceae.
AGAUAAAAGGUGUUUAUGGAUCGAUCACCGCUAAAAAUGAUGUGAUGGUUGAUCCUCAUUGUGAGAGUUUUCUCUUCCUCAAGGACUCGAGUGAAAGUGUAGAAAUAGUAGAUGGGCAGCCAAUUCCAUUGUCCAGGUCCGUAGUAGCCGUUCCAGUCAAGUCCAACCUCACAGUUUGUGCACAUCUGAAAAGCAAGGACACGGACAAGGAGUUUAAAGAAGAUGUAUCCUUUAGUGUUGAACUCCAUGGUAAAUCGGAAAAACUAAUAAACAGCAUACAAGUGAGGGUCACUUGGAAACGCUUUUGGUAUGAGUAUAUAUAUGUUUCUAUUGUAAAUUUGUGACUUAUAAAUAUUUGAACUUUUAUAGAUUCAUUUCUGUUAAAAAUUUCGUUUUGUUUUAAUUUGAACCAGGGAUGUAUGGUGAUAUGCAGUGAUCCUGCUGCCGUACUAGUGCAGAAGAUCUCAGAUUGGAGGCACCUUGGAAUUCGAUUUGCUAUUUUAUGUAUUUCCUUUAUUUUAAAUUAGGAUUGUAUUUGUGGAUUGUGGGUGGGAGUUGUUUGAAACUUUGAUUUCUGUCAUGGAUGUGUUGUUUGAAACUUUGUGGAUUGUAUUUGUACUAUGUGGAAGUUGUUUGGAAUCAUUUUGGUUGGAUAUUUCGAUUCACCUGUUUGAAACCGCUGCCAUCCCCUAUGUGUCUGAUGAUUGAUGUGGUUGAAGUGUUGUCGUGCCUGUUGCGCAUCCUAUUUGGGUCUGAUCUAUCUAUUUUUAGCUAGUUUAAUUUACAUGUCAACAUUUUUGAUGUAAUUUGAAAUGUCUUUGUGGCCAUCUCAUGCGUAGUCUGUUUUCAUUUUUUAUAGGCCUAUAAUCUUACAUAUCGACUAAUUAUCUCUAUUUGCAGAGAUUGCUGAAAAAGAGAAAUACGCUGUACUGUCCAUGCUGAGGUAUGUCUACCGAGUGUCAAACUAGGUUCUUUUAGAAGCAAUUUCUUUGAAUUAAUGCUAAAUUUACAACUCUUUUGUCCCAAACUAGUUGGAGUGCAGGCUACCAUCAUGUGCUUGAUAAUGUGUACUAUAAGUAAAAAGUUACGAUGCAUUUUUGAAUUUGUAGUAUAUUGUAGUUCUACUAUUAUACAUAUAUUGUUAUAAUUAUGUGUGUGUGUGAGAGAGUGAGGAGAUUCCGGAGAUGUCGGAGAUUCAAGUAGAAUUUAGUAAGCAAAUGAUACCUUUAUCCUUGAGAGUUUGGAUAAGCUAAAUUUUUGUAAUUUGGUGAUUUUAUCACAAAGGGAGUCUUGCAUCAUUACUCCAAGUCUUGAGUCUCCUUUUUGGAAACCUAAACAGGAAAACACACUAGUAUUUACCUGUACAAUCUACCCUUCUUUGAAUCAAUAUGUUAUUGGUCAAAACCUUGAUUUAAGAAUGCAGCUCAUGAGCUCAACAAUUAGAAAUUGUGAUUUGAAGAUUGUCCAAAGAAUACAUUGAAGAAGGUUAAAGUUUGACUCAAAGAGUGAACAAUAAGUUUACUUGUUUAAAAUGAAUUAUAU